AAGGCAACAGAAAAAGACAUUUUUCUAAGUACAAUUUCAUAGAAAAGGAAAUAAAAGGAUUUUCCCCAACAUACAGCGUAUAGCUUCCAUGCUUAUCUGCUACCAAAUACAACUUGAAAAGGCCAUGUCAUGAAAUUGAGAAAAGGAUUGUAUUUAAAUUCAGCCAUUGCAUGAGCCUAUUUUGGUGGAAUCAUAGCUAACUAA
Molecule: unclassified non-coding RNA, 204 nt
Filed under: Hevea brasiliensis (rubber tree)
Lineage: Eukaryota; Viridiplantae; Streptophyta; Magnoliopsida; Malpighiales; Euphorbiaceae
Source: RNAcentral